This 178-nucleotide small RNA is filed under the name Drosophila ananassae. RNAcentral describes it as "GF27659". The record is from RNAcentral. Lineage: Eukaryota; Metazoa; Arthropoda; Insecta; Diptera; Drosophilidae.
CGCAGCAAUUGCCAUCGCAGGAGAGAGCUCUGAUGCCAGCAGUUGUUCAAACACUCUGAAACCAAAAAGAAACCCGCGGAUACGGAUGCGAAUCCGAACUCUGUAAGGACCCUGCCACCAGCGCAACAGCAAGACAAUCUGAGAAUGUUGCCAUCAUCACCAGCAGCAUCGGCAACAG